This 122-nucleotide ribosomal RNA is filed under the name Octodon degus (degu). Lineage: Eukaryota; Metazoa; Chordata; Mammalia; Rodentia; Octodontidae. The record is from RNAcentral.
GUCUACGGCCAUACCAUCCUGGAUGCUCCUCCCCAUCUCAUCUGAUCUCAGAAAGUAAGGAGGGUGGGGCCUGGUUAUUACUUGGAUGGGAGACUGCCUGAAAGUACCAGGUGCGGCAGCCU